GACGAACGCUGGCGGCGUGCUUAACACAUGCAAGUCGAACGGAAAGGCCCUGCUUUUGUGGGGUGCUCGAGUGGCGAACGGGUGAGUAACACGUGAGUAACCUGCCCCUGACUUUGGGAUAACUUCAGGAAACUGGGGCUAAUACCGGAUAGGAGCUCCUGCUGCAUGGUGGGGGUUGGAAAGUUUCGGCGGUUGAGGAUGGACUCGGGGCUUAUCAGCUUGUUGGUGGGGUAGUGGCUUACCAAGGCUUUGACGGGUAGCCGGCCUGCGAGGGUGACCGGCCACAUUGGGACUGAGAUACGGCCCAGACUCCUACGGGAGGCAGCAGUGGGGAAUAUUGCACAAUGGGCGGAAGCCUGAUGCAGCAACGCCGCGUGCGGGAUGACGGCCUUCGGGUUGUAAACCGCUUUCGCCUGUGACGAAGCGUGAGUGACGGUAAUGGGUAAAGAAGCACCGGCUAACUACGUG
Molecule: ribosomal RNA, 468 nt
Filed under: uncultured bacterium
Lineage: Bacteria
Description: partial 16S ribosomal RNA
Rfam family: Bacterial small subunit ribosomal RNA
Source: RNAcentral